Molecule: ribosomal RNA, 841 nt
Filed under: uncultured bacterium
Lineage: Bacteria
Description: bacterial SSU rRNA
Rfam family: Bacterial small subunit ribosomal RNA
Source: RNAcentral
CCCAAUUGAUUGAUGGUGCUUGCACCUGAUUGAUUUUGGCCGCCAACGAGUGGCGGACGGGUGAGUAACACGUAGGUAACCUGCCCAGAAGCGGGGGACAACAUUUGGAAACAGAUGCUAAUACCGCAUAACAACGUUGUUCGCAUGAACAACGCUUAAAAGAUGGCUUCUCGCUAUCACUUCUGGAUGGACCUGCGGUGCAUUAGCUUGUUGGUGGGGUAACGGCCUACCAAGGCGAUGAUGCAUAGCCGAGUUGAGAGACUGAUCGGCCACAAUGGGACUGAGACACGGCCCAUACUCCUACGGGAGGCAGCAGUAGGGAAUCUUCCACAAUGGGCGCAAGCCUGAUGGAGCAACACCGCGUGAGUGAAGAAGGGUUUCGGCUCGUAAAGCUCUGUUGUUAAAGAAGAACACGUAUGAGAGUAACUGUUCAUACGUUGACGGUAUUUAACCAGAAAGUCACGGCUAACUACGUGCCAGCAGCCGCGGUAAUACGUAGGUGGCAAGCGUUAUCCGGAUUUAUUGGGCGUAAAGAGAGUGCAGGCGGUUUUCUAAGUCUGAUGUGAAAGCCUUCGGCUUAACCGGAGAAGUGCAUCGGAAACUGGAUAACUUGAGUGCAGAAGAGGGUAGUGGAACUCCAUGUGUAGCGGUGGAAUGCGUAGAUAUAUGGAAGAACACCAGUGGCGAAGGCGGCUACCUGGUCUGCAACUGACGCUGAGACUCGAAAGCAUGGGUAGCGAACAGGAUUAGAUACCCUGGUAGUCCAUGCCGUANACGAUGAGUGCUAGGUGUUGGAGGGUUUCCGCCCUUCAGUGCCGGAGCUAACGCAUUAAGCACUCCG